RNAcentral lists this ribosomal RNA (444 nucleotides) under uncultured bacterium. RNAcentral describes it as "bacterial SSU rRNA". It matches the Rfam family "Bacterial small subunit ribosomal RNA", at positions 355 to 796 of the family's 1533-position model. The record is from RNAcentral.
UAAGGAAUAUUGGACAAUGGCCGCAAGGCUGAUCCAGCCAUGCCGCGUGCAGGAUGAAGGUGCUCUGCAUUGUAAACUGCUUUUGUUUGGGAAUAAACCCCUCUACGUGUAGAGGGCUGAAUGUACCAAAAGAAUAAGGGACGGCUAACUUCGUGCCAGCAGCCGCGGUAAUACGAAGGUCCCGAGCGUUAUCCGGAUUUAUUGGGUUUAAAGGGUGCGUAGGCGGGUUAUUAAGUCAGUGGUGAAAGCCUACAGCUUAACUGUAGAAUUGCCAUUGAUACUGAUGAUCUUGAGUAUGAUUGAGGUGGGCGGAAUGUGUCAUGUAGCGGUGAAAUGCUUAGAUAUGACACAGAACACCGAUUGCGAAGGCAGCUCACUAAGCCAUAACUGACGCUGAUGCACGAAAGCGUGGGGAGCAAACAGGAUUAGAUACCCCCGUAGUCC